This 480-nucleotide ribosomal RNA is filed under the name Capnocytophaga sp. 'ARUP UnID 185'. RNAcentral describes it as "bacterial SSU rRNA". It matches the Rfam family "Bacterial small subunit ribosomal RNA", at positions 27 to 506 of the family's 1533-position model. Lineage: Bacteria; Pseudomonadati; Bacteroidota; Flavobacteriia; Flavobacteriales; Flavobacteriaceae. The record is from RNAcentral.
GGAUGAACGCUAGCGGCAGGCCUAACACAUGCAAGUCGAGGGGGAGGUUACUUUCGGGUAACUGAGACCGGCGUACGGGUGCGUAACGCGUAUACAAUCUGCCUUUCACUGGGGGAUAGCCCGAAGAAAUUUGGAUUAAUACCCCAUAGUAUAGUAAUACGGCAUCGUGAURCUAUUAAAGCUUAGGUGGUGAAAGAUGAGUAUGCGUUCUAUUAGCUAGUUGGAGAGGUAACGGCUCCCCAAGGCGAUGAUAGAUAGGGGUUCUGAGAGGGAUGUCCCCCACACUGGUACUGAGAUACGGACCAGACUCCUACGGGAGGCAGCAGUGAGGAAUAUUGGACAAUGGUCGGAAGACUGAUCCAGCCAUGCCGCGUGCAGGAUGACGGCCUUAUGGGUUGUAAACUGCUUUUGUAAGGGAAGAAUAAGRRCUACGYGUAGUUUGAUGACGGUACCUUAUGAAUAAGCAUCGGCUAACUCCGU